ACACAAUUUAAUAUUUACUACCUAAAUUCUAGGGCUCCCGAUGUAACAGCCAAAUUGUACCCCUUUUUAAUUUAAACUUCAUUCGGAGGAGAACAAUUUUUCGUGGUCAAUUUCCGUUAACGGUAAUAGACGAAUUUUACCCCCUCGUUAUUUUUACCUCAGGCGUAUAAUUUUGCAAAUUACGCGAUAAAAAUUCGGCAACGGUAACAAGCAA
Cinara cedri is the source of this 214-nucleotide non-coding RNA. Lineage: Eukaryota; Metazoa; Arthropoda; Insecta; Hemiptera; Aphididae. The record is from the annotation of a GenBank genome assembly.